CUCAAACAUCUGACGUUUAUUCUAUGUGGCUCUUACAUUAAGCAAGCUUGGCCACUCCUUCUAGCCCAUCAGACACCUAGAAACUGCCUUUUCAUUUUUUUUAAAAAAAGCUUAUGUUUAAAAAAGGAACAAUGCCUUACUCAAUCUUUCAAAGGGCUGACAGAUGCAAAAAAAAAACUUGAUAAAAUUGGAAAUCAGGUUGGCUUUAAAAUGUAAAAAGACCAUAAUCAAGAUGCUGCUAUUCUGAAAUACCCCAAAUGAAAACUUUUUAAAGUGAUUCUCCUGUAAUGUACCACUGAAAUAAAUACCUUUUACAGUCA
This is a long non-coding RNA of Heteronotia binoei (common prickly gecko), 320 nucleotides long. RefSeq lists it as uncharacterized. The record is from RefSeq and is a predicted model, not a curated record. The transcript is spliced from 2 exons. NCBI's taxonomy places the organism in Eukaryota, Metazoa, Chordata, Lepidosauria, Squamata, Gekkonidae.